UAAAGACUCGGCCGCACGACUCACCCGGCGGCCUCGCCACGAACUGGAGCGUGACUCGGACCGCAUACGACUACAUGCAAGGAAUCUAUGGGCCGCGACGCUAACUGAGGUCGCCACUGCCAGACUUCAAACAAAAUCAACGUGGAACAAAACAAGUGAUGUGUUUAACCCAACAAACCACCCCCUUAAGCACAGCAUCUAUUCUUCACCUCCACCGCACCCAAUCUUUGCCGUAGCUUGAUGAACUUCAUGCGCUCGAGGGGUUUCGUCAGAAUAUCGGUCCCCAAUCAAUUUACCGAGCCAUACUCCAUAGCCGCUGCUAUGUACUCAGCUUCAUAGGAGGAGAGAGCAACGAUCUUCUAUUUCUAGGACACCCAAGUAAUUAAGCUAUCUCCAAGAAGAAAGCCAUCCCUGAUGUGCUCUUCCGGUCAUCAACAUCACUAGCAAGAUUAUUGUCACAGUACCCAUGCAAUCUAGGCUCCAGCAUGUCGGACCGCAUGUAUUGACACCCAAAAAGAUGCAGUGCCACGACAAGGAUACACAUGGAUACAAGGGAAUACUGCAUUGUAGUCAUCUUCAAGGGAUUCUACAACAUCUCCAAGGACGUCAUCACCAUAAUUCAUGUCUUCUCCGAGCUCAUCGCCAAGUAUAUCUUCUUCGUCAAUAUCAAUGGCGCAAAGAGGGAGAAAGAUACUACCUAAGGGUGCUACUAAAUCAUGUGGCAGGUGCAACUUCAUAUGAGCAUCUAAAGAUUGUGGAUGGUGUUGUAUACCUUACCUUUUGAGAAGCCAUCGAGAAAAGAGGUCUUAUCAAGACUGAUGGUAGCAUCGAUGAUUGGCUAACAGAGAUCAAAGGAUUCCAUAUGACAUCAUCUCUUUGAAGGCUAUUUGCUACAAUAUUGGCGUUGUGUGAACUUAUGAUGUUUGUGGACUCUCGAAUAAACAAGUGAGAAUAUCGCUAUGAUGUAUGUUAUCUUUGAUUAAAGUAUA
This is a long non-coding RNA of Phragmites australis (common reed), 989 nucleotides long. RefSeq lists it as uncharacterized. The transcript has 2 exons. The record is from RefSeq and is a predicted model, not a curated record. NCBI's taxonomy places the organism in Eukaryota, Viridiplantae, Streptophyta, Magnoliopsida, Poales, Poaceae.